UUGGAUGUGGUUAGCGGGGCCUCAUCAAC
Molecule: non-coding RNA, 29 nt
Filed under: Homo sapiens (human)
Lineage: Eukaryota; Metazoa; Chordata; Mammalia; Primates; Hominidae
Source: RNAcentral